Molecule: unclassified non-coding RNA, 407 nt
Filed under: Melitaea cinxia (Glanville fritillary)
Lineage: Eukaryota; Metazoa; Arthropoda; Insecta; Lepidoptera; Nymphalidae
Description: misc RNA ENSMCXG00005021024.1
Source: RNAcentral
CUUUAGAAAUCAACUCCCUUUUGGGGUUAAAACGGGGGAUGGUAGGUUUACUCACUCAUCACGAAAUCUUCGAAACUAUAACACCUACAAACUUGAAAUUUGGCAGAUAGGCUCCUUAUAGGGCGUAGACAUUCGCUAAGAACGGGUUUUACAAAACUCGACCCCUAAGGGGGUAAAACGGGGUUUGGAAGUUUGUAUGAAAGUCCUAUGUUUUUGAAGUAAGAGUCUUGAAAUUUAAAAUAUAUGCUCUAUAGAUGGUGAGAAGGUGUCCAAAUAAUGUAUAUUUAGAAAUCAACUCCCUUUUGGGGUUAAAACGGGGGAUGGUAGGUUGACUCACUCAUCAUGAAAUCUCUGAAACUAUAACAGCUACAAACUUGAAAUUUUGCAGAUAGGUUCCUUAUAGGGCG